AUACUUACCUGGCAGGGGAAAUACUGUAAUGGAGUAGGUGGUUCACCAAGGCAAAGGUCAGCCAUUGCACCCCUGCGACCCCUGUGACCCCGGCUGUGCAGACUCCUGCAAAUUCCCCAAAUAUCAAUAUUAAUAAUUAAUAAUAUUAAUAUUAUUGCCCAAAAAUACUGCAUAUUUUCUAGUAGUGGGGGACUGCGUUCAUGUUCAUGUUCCUU
This is a small nuclear RNA of Electrophorus electricus (electric eel), 215 nucleotides long. Its record names the gene U1. It matches the Rfam family "U1 spliceosomal RNA". From Rfam's summary of the family: U1 is a small nuclear RNA (snRNA) component of the spliceosome (involved in pre-mRNA splicing). Its 5' end forms complementary base pairs with the 5' splice junction, thus defining the 5' donor site of an intron. The record is from Ensembl. NCBI's taxonomy places the organism in Eukaryota, Metazoa, Chordata, Actinopteri, Gymnotiformes, Gymnotidae.